This 2141-nucleotide ribosomal RNA is filed under the name Drosophila melanogaster (fruit fly). Its description in RNAcentral is "eukaryotic LSU rRNA". It matches the Rfam family "Eukaryotic large subunit ribosomal RNA", at positions 1361 to 3185 of the family's 3401-position model. Lineage: Eukaryota; Metazoa; Arthropoda; Insecta; Diptera; Drosophilidae. The record is from RNAcentral.
UGAUUUAUAUUACUUGUGAUAUAAAUUUUGAAACUUUAGUGAGUAGGAAGGUACAAUGGUAUGCGUAGAAGUGUUUGGCGUAAGCCUGCAUGGAGCUGCCAUUGGUACAGAUCUUGGUGGUAGUAGCAAAUAAUCGAAUGAGACCUUGGAGGACUGAAGUGGAGAAGGGUUUCGUGUGAACAGUGGUUGAUCACGAGUUAGUCGGUCCUAAGUUCAAGGCGAAAGCCGAAAAUUUUCAAGUAAAACAAAAAUGCCUAACUAUAUAAACAAAGCGAAUUAUAAUACACUUGAAUAAUUUUGAACGAAAGGGAAUACGGUUCCAAUUCCGUAACCUGUUGAGUAUCCGUUUGUUAUUAAAUAUGGGCCUCGUGCUCAUCCUGGCAACAGGAACGACCAUAAAGAAGCCGUCGAGAGAUAUCGGAAGAGUUUUCUUUUCUGUUUUAUAGCCGUACUACCAUGGAAGUCUUUCGCAGAGAGAUAUGGUAGAUGGGCUAGAAGAGCAUGACAUAUACUGUUGUGUCGAUAUUUUCUCCUCGGACCUUGAAAAUUUAUGGUGGGGACACGCAAACUUCUCAACAGGCCGUACCAAUAUCCGCAGCUGGUCUCCAAGGUGAAGAGUCUCUAGUCGAUAGAAUAAUGUAGGUAAGGGAAGUCGGCAAAUUAGAUCCGUAACUUCGGGAUAAGGAUUGGCUCUGAAGAUUGAGAUAGUCGGGCUUGAUUGGGAAACAAUAACAUGGUUUAUGUGCUCGUUCUGGGUAAAUAGAGUUUCUAGCAUUUAUGUUAGUUACUUGUUCCCCGGAUAGUUUAGUUACGUAGCCAAUUGUGGAACUUUCUUGCUAAAAUUUUUAAGAAUACUAUUUGGGUUAAACCAAUUAGUUCUUAUUAAUUAUAACGAUUAUCAAUUAACAAUCAAUUCAGAACUGGCACGGACUUGGGGAAUCCGACUGUCUAAUUAAAACAAAGCAUUGUGAUGGCCCUAGCGGGUGUUGACACAAUGUGAUUUCUGCCCAGUGCUCUGAAUGUCAAAGUGAAGAAAUUCAAGUAAGCGCGGGUCAACGGCGGGAGUAACUAUGACUCUCUUAAGGUAGCCAAAUGCCUCGUCAUCUAAUUAGUGACGCGCAUGAAUGGAUUAACGAGAUUCCUACUGUCCCUAUCUACUAUCUAGCGAAACCACAGCCAAGGGAACGGGCUUGGAAUAAUUAGCGGGGAAAGAAGACCCUUUUGAGCUUGACUCUAAUCUGGCAGUGUAAGGAGACAUAAGAGGUGUAGAAUAAGUGGGAGAUAUUAGACCUCGGUUUGGUAUCGUCAAUGAAAUACCACUAUUCUUAUUGUUUCCUUACUUACUUGAUUAAAUGGAACGUGUAUCAUUUCCUAGCCAUUAUACGGAUAUAUUUAUUAUAUCUUAUGGUAUUGGGUUUUGAUGCAAGCUUCUUGAUCAAAGUAUCACGAGUUUGUUAUAUAAUCGCAAACAAAUUCUUUAAUAAAACGAUGCAUUUAUGUAUUUUUGAUUUGAAAAUUUGGUAUAACUCCAAUUACUCAGGUAUGAUCCAAUUCAAGGACAUUGCCAGGUAGGGAGUUUGACUGGGGCGGUACAUCUCUCAAAUAAUAACGGAGGUGUCCCAAGGCCAGCUCAGUGCGGACAGAAACCACACAUAGAGCAAAAGGGCAAAUGCUGACUUGAUCUCGGUGUUCAGUACACACAGGGACAGCAAAAGCUCGGCCUAUCGAUCCUUUUGGUUUAAAGAGUUUUUAACAAGAGGUGUCAGAAAAGUUACCAUAGGGAUAACUGGCUUGUGGCGGCCAAGCGUUCAUAGCGACGUCGCUUUUUGAUCCUUCGAUGUCGGCUCUUCCUAUCAUUGUGAAGCAAAAUUCACCAAGCGUUGGAUUGUUCACCCAUGCAAGGGAACGUGAGCUGGGUUUAGACCGUCGUGAGACAGGUUAGUUUUACCCUACUAAUGACAAAACGUUGUUGCGACAGCAUUCCUGCGUAGUACGAGAGGAACCGCAGGUACGGACCAAUGGCACAAUACUUGUUCGAGCGAACAGUGGUAUGACGCUACGUCCGUUGGAUUAUGCCUGAACGCCUCUAAGGUCGUAUCCGUGCUGGACUGCAAUGAUAAAUAAGGGGCAAUUUGCAUUGU